GCGUCUGUGGAGGAGCGCUCUGGUCGCG
RNAcentral lists this non-coding RNA (28 nucleotides) under Cricetulus griseus (Chinese hamster). Lineage: Eukaryota; Metazoa; Chordata; Mammalia; Rodentia; Cricetidae. The record is from RNAcentral.